UGCAAUGAUGUGAAGGACUAUGAAAAAGUAACUCAGAGAACUUAAAAACUGAUUAAUGCAGGGAAUGCAAAAGAUAAAAUGAUCUCUGCAUGUAAAGUUACACUACAUAUUAUAUAAUCCUUGAUGCCAUAACUUCCUUAUCCUGUGACAUUUCCUACCACCAGUAUCACACUCUUAGAAUGGAAAAAAGAUAAUACUUACUGUAGAACUCAAAUGCACAGGCGAUGUUGUUAGCCAUGAAAAAUGACAUCAUAA
RNAcentral lists this unclassified non-coding RNA (255 nucleotides) under Hevea brasiliensis (rubber tree). The record is from RNAcentral. Lineage: Eukaryota; Viridiplantae; Streptophyta; Magnoliopsida; Malpighiales; Euphorbiaceae.